CCUACGGGGCGCAGCAGUGGGGAAUAUUGGGCAAUGGAGGCAACUCUGACCCAGCAACGCCGCGUGAAUGAUGAAGGUCUUCGGAUUGUAAAGUUCUGUGAUGGGGGAUGAACACAAUGACGGUACCCCAAUAGCAAGCCACGGCUAACUACGUGCCAGCAGCCGCGGUAAUACGGAGGUGGCAAGCGUUAUCCGGAAUGACUGGGCGUAAAGGGUGCGUAGGUGGUUUAGUAAGUUGGCGGUGUAAUUCCGGGGCGCAACCUCGGCGCUACCGCCAAAACUAUUAGACUAGAGUGCAGGAGGGGUAAGUGGAAGUCCUAGUGUAGCGGUGGAAUGCGUAGAUAUUAGGAGGAACAUCAGGGGCGAAGGCGACUUACUGGACUGUAACUGACACUGAGGCACGAAAGCGUGGGGAGCAAACAGGAUUAGAUACCCGUGUAGUC
Molecule: ribosomal RNA, 443 nt
Filed under: uncultured bacterium
Lineage: Bacteria
Description: partial 16S ribosomal RNA
Rfam family: Bacterial small subunit ribosomal RNA
Source: RNAcentral